UCAUAAAAUAGUUUAAAUAAAACAUUAAUUUUGGGGAUUAAAUUUAUAAGUAAAAUUAUUUUUUUG
Molecule: transfer RNA, 66 nt
Filed under: Pristaulacus compressus
Lineage: Eukaryota; Metazoa; Arthropoda; Insecta; Hymenoptera; Aulacidae
Description: tRNA-Pro
Source: RNAcentral